GCUCAACCGGGGAGGGUCAUUGGAAACUGGGGAACUUGAGUGCAGAAGAGGAGAGUGGAAUUCCACGUGUAGCGGUGAAAUGCGUAGAGAUGUGGAGGAACACCAGUGGCGAAGGCGACUCUCUGGUCUGUAACUGACGCUGAGGAGCGAAAGCGUGGGGAGCGAACAGGAUUAGAUACCCUGGUAGUCCACGCCGUAAACGAUGAGUGCUAAGUGUUAGGGGGUUUCCCCCCUUAGUGCUGCAGCUAACGCAUUAAGCACUCCGCCUGGGGAGUACGGUCGCAAGACUGAAACUCAAAGGAAUUGACGGGGGCCCGCACAAGCGGUGGAGCAUGUGGUUUAAUUCGAAGCAACGCGAAGAACCUUACCAGGUCUUGACAUCCUCUGACAAUCCUAGAGAUAGGACGUCCCCUUCGGGGGCAGAGUGACAGGUGGUGCAUGGUUGUCGUCAGCUCGUGUCGUGAGAUGUUGGGUUAAGUCCCGCAACGAGCGCAACCCUUGAUCUUAGUUGCCAGCAUUCAGUUGGGCACUCUAAGGUGACUGCCGGUGACAAACGGGAGGAAGGUGGGGAUGACGUCAAAUCAUCAUGCCCCUUAUGACCUGGGCUACACACGUGCUACAAUGGGCAGAACAAAG
This 636-nucleotide ribosomal RNA is filed under the name uncultured bacterium. RNAcentral describes it as "bacterial SSU rRNA". It matches the Rfam family "Bacterial small subunit ribosomal RNA", at positions 607 to 1244 of the family's 1533-position model. The record is from RNAcentral.